This 1435-nucleotide long non-coding RNA is filed under the name Nothobranchius furzeri (turquoise killifish). RNAcentral describes it as "lncRNA (ENSNFUG00015003517.1)". Lineage: Eukaryota; Metazoa; Chordata; Actinopteri; Cyprinodontiformes; Nothobranchiidae. The record is from RNAcentral.
CACCCACCAGGCAUAUAGAGUGCCCUGAUUGGCCCACAAAGCAGAUAAAGCUCUGUGAUUUGUUCACUAAGCAGAUAGAGCACUAUGAUUGGCCCACCCUUAUGGACCAAUCACAGCUCUUUAUGUGUUUGAAACCCCUCUAGAGUUUUGUGAUUGGCUAGUCAGAGUCCUGGUAGGAGCUGCGGAGGUUCCUAGACCAAACUUUGCAAAGCAAGAAUUUGGUCUAGUUCACUAGGCUAGCGAUCUGUGGCUGAUGAGUGAAAACAACCUGGUGUGACUUCACAGAGAGAGUACAUUCUUUGUCUGAGCUUCCAUAAAUCUGAGUUUUAGUUGGAAGAAAGGCAAGGUGGUGAUAAAAAGACAUGUUUAAUGAUGACUUUUACACAGUUUUGUUGUACCACAGCAGACAUUUCUUCAUGGAAGUUUGGAAGUUUCCUUCUUAAUAUUUGAAUCAAUCAUAACAAAUUUUCAUGGUUUAUCUAAUCUAAUCUAAUCUAAUCUAGAUUUUUUUUACUGUUUCAACAUUUUCAAAAUAGAGCAGAGAAAAAUAAUUUCACGUGCAACAGUUUUGAUGGUUCUAGUUGUUGUUGAUAAUACAAAUGGUAAUGUGUUGUUUUUUUGUGUGUGUGAGUGUUUUUAUCUGUGUUCACCUAAGUGUCUCAGAACAUACCCGCGUUCAACCUGAGAUCUGAGAUGAAAGGCUCGCAGUGAAAGAACGAUGCUUUUUCUCUUCUUCUUCUUCUUUCCAGAGAGCCACUGACCUCUCUCGUCAUCCAUGGUCUCAGUUUCUAAAAGCAAAACUCAUUCAACCACCACACCUGCAGCUGAAAUCCAGUUUCCUUAUGCUCUGCAUCCAACUCCUUUAAGGUCUGUUGACCGUUAAUCCAUUUUUUUCUCGAGUCAGUACACAAUUAUCUUUAAAACAUUAUAGCUCAGCUCCACUGCUGAGGUAACGUAUUGCAUAUACUAUCAAGAUGUUCGUCAGUCUUUUCAAAAAGAGUGUGUGAGAUGUAAAACAACUGACUUUUUAAAAAAAGUGGUGCCAAAUGGAGGCAGAAAUUAGAUCCUUUUGUAAUUUCUAAGGUUCUAAGUUUUUCUCUUAAACCUCCUGCAGAAAAUAAAUGGUCACCUUUCACGUGAUCCUAACAUUUGAAGUCCAUGUAUGACCAAUGCAGUUUAAUGCUAUGGUGAAAAUAAACCCAAGAAGAGAGGAAGUCAGUAGCAUGGGACUAAAAGUGAAGUACUUGCUGGUUUUUGUAAUUUGAGCCUAAUUUACCUCCAAAGCUCCAAACUCGUAGCAUUGGGGCAACAGUAGCUCAGGAGGUAGAGCGGACUGUCCCAUGAUCAGAGGGUCAUGGGAUUGAUCCCAGCUCCCGCCAGGGGUAUUCUGCUGUUGUGUCCUUGGGCAAGACACUUCACCUAACUUGCCUGUGUU